This 7338-nucleotide long non-coding RNA is filed under the name Cucumis sativus (cucumber). Its description in RNAcentral is "long non-coding RNA (CSAT_LNC000045)". The record is from RNAcentral. Lineage: Eukaryota; Viridiplantae; Streptophyta; Magnoliopsida; Cucurbitales; Cucurbitaceae.
UUCAUCUAAAGUAUGUCAUCAACCAUUGAUAAACAAAUAAUAGUAACCAAGCAAAAGUAGGUAUCUACUUCCAAAAGAAAAUGUAAAAGCACGUAACAUUUUCACACACAAUUAAUGUUCUGAUCACUCGAGAUUUAGCAGUAAUGGAACUGAUAUUGGCAUCUCCAAUAUUGUAUAUGAUUGAAAAUUUGAAAGCAUUGGGCACCACCUUGCAAACAUGACAAGUCCAAAUUCAACAAAAACCGUUCCAUGCAUCAUGAUUCCUACAAACCCAACCCUUCACAUAAUAAUAAUAAAAAAAAAUCCCAAGCUACACUUUAUAUAUGUGUAAAGGGAUUUUUGCAAUUUCGAUUGCCAGUACAAUGGCAUCCAGCGAUACAGGGCAGUUGAUUGGUUUUACAGCCACAACGGUGGUGCUUGCAUGAACUAUUUUCACAGUUGCAAACAGAUCUCUCUUGCCCUUGGGCUUGUUGUGGCUGUUGUCGUGGCUGUUGUUGUGGCUGUUGUCGUGGCUGUUGUUGUGGCUGUUGUCGUGGCUGUUGUCGUGGCUGUUGUCGUGGCUGUUGUCGUGGCUGUUGUCGUGGCUGUUGUGCUUGUUGGACUUCUUCCUCCUCCUGCUUUUCUUCUUCCUGGACUUGCACUUUCUCUUCUUCUUGCUGGACUUGCACUUGCUCUUUCUCCUCCUCCUCACUCUCUGCCUCCUCCUCAUUCUCUGCUUCCUCCUUCUCAUUCUCAUUCUCUACCUCCUCUUUCUCAUUCUCAUUCUCUACCUCCUCUUUCUCAUUCUCAUUCUCUGCCUCCUCCUCCUCAUUCUCAUUCUCUGCCUCCUCCUCCUCCUCAUUCUCAUUCUCAUUCUCUGCCUCCUCCUCCUCUUCCUCAUUCUCAUCCUCCUCCUCCUCCUCCUCCUCCUUCUCUUCUUCCUCUUCAAUUAUUUUCUUCUUCCAUAAAGGAAUUCUUCUUUUCCAGAAAGGCAUUCUUCUUUCUUUUCUUUCUCUUUUGUUUUGAAUAAAAGAGAACACACUAUAUCCAUUAUAUAUAGAAUCAAAAAACAGUUCAGUUACAUGAAACACAGUUUCAACCAUACAGAAACAAGAAUGUGGUGAGCAUUGGUGAAUUUGGCAUGCCUAUAGCCACCUCAAAGUUUUGAAGUUCAUUGCUGCUGUUUUUUCUUUCAUUUUUUAGAACUAUUUGAUCCCACAUCCUCACAUUAUAUUUCAAAACUAAUAAACAUUGCACAAUACAGUGAAGACAUGAAAUUUCAAUCUAUUUUUUUAAAAAAAGACAGGUCUUCUAAUUUAUAUUUACUUUAUUUUUCAAAUUUUACAAUAUUCCUUCGAGUGAUUUUUAAUUUUUGGAAAUAUUUUGAGAAAAUUAUAUAAAACUUGAAAUUUUAUAAUCAAAUCUUUGCGUAACAUGGCGACAUUUAAUGAGAAUACCCAAAACAAUUAUAAAUUAGAAAAAAAUGAUUUUUUAAACUAAAACUUUGGUCUCUAAUUGAAUGAGUUUUGAAAAAACUAAGCUAGUUUGUAUAGAGAAAUUUUUUAUUUCUAUCAAACACCCUUUUAAUUUAAUUGAUUCAUGAGUUGGAAUUUGGUUGAUUUAAUUCAAAUUUAUUGUGAACUUAAGAAAGAUUUUAAUUAUUUAAUUAUUUGUGGUUAUUAGAACACUCUAAUUAAUUAAUCAACCAACCCUUUAUGUUAUCCAAUUAGAUUUGGAGUUUUGAAAAUUCAUAUAUUUACAAACCUUUCAUUUAUUGACUCUAAACUUUACGUAAAAAUAAUUGAUUUUAUUUUUUAAAUAUAAAAUAAAUUUAAUUUUGUUAAGAAAAAUAAUAUUAUUCGUAAAUCAUGUUGAUUUUUUUAAAAAAAUUAUAUUUGAAAAGAUAACAUAAAUAUUAUUAAAAAAUAUAUAUAUUUUAAAAAAGUUGUUAUCGAAAUAUUUUUCCUUAUUUUAGAAUAAAAACAUUUUUUUAAGAAUAAUUAUGACUGAUUUUAUUUUUCCGUUUCUUCUAAGGAAUGGGUCAGAAGGAUUUUACAAAAAGUUCAAACCCUAUGAUUUUUUGUAUUCCAAACACGUAUGUGUGUAUAUAUAUAUAGACUUUCCAAUCUCUAAUAUCUUCAAUUAAUCCUCACAAAGAAGGUUUCGAAGCGAUCAAUGGAGAAUAUGGAGAUGAGUGAGAAUUGGGAUAAAGGGCUUCCGUCAAUGGAGAAUGUGGAAAGACAAAUGGAGAAUAUGGAAAUGGGUGAGAGAAGAAUGAGUAUUGAUUGGGGCAAAGGGCUUCCACCUCUUAUUGCUAAAACAAUCUUCUCCAAACUUGUUAUCUCCAAUUUGCCUUCCUGCAGGUUCGUUUGUAAAACUUGGAACCAUUUAGUUUUACAUUACGCAUCCUCUACUCAAUUACAAUUUCUUACCAAUGCUUUUCUUCUCUCCACCUCUGAUCGAAUGCUCAAUUAUGAAUUAUGCAAUCCCAAAAUGCAUUGUAUCAAUCUUGAUAACAGACAAAGUUCAAAUGAUGUUGAUUUUGAUUUGGAGUGGGAAUUUAUUAAAUCAGGCUCGUUGCAAUUUUACGGUGAUUGGACAUUUAUGAUCCUACUGGCCCAUCCAUGCAAUGGCUUGAUGUUUAUUUCAAAAUGCAGUGACUAUACAUGGUGUCAAGGUAUAUUCAAUCCAAUGACUAAUGAGUUCUUUCAGGUUUCGGAGCAAGAUACUUUUGAUGAUUUUUAUCACUACGGAUUUGGUUUAAGCGCGAUUUCAAAACAAUACAAAUUAUUCAGAGUUUCUGAAGCAAUUCCUUACUCAGAAAGAUUUAGACUUAUGAUUACAUUUGGUAGAGAUGACACCCACUACACUAUGGAAGUUCUUACUUUUGGUAGAAGUGGAACCAACCACAUCCCUAUUCAUAACCAAUGGAGGCAUCUUCACAACCUCUCUUGUGAUUUGAUUCAUGGUGUUUACUUGAAUGGAAUCAUCUAUUGGUUGGGAAAAGAAAAAGGUAAAAAGGAAAAGAAGGAGUAUGUCAUAUAUGCUCUUGAUGUUGAAACCGAACAAAUUGAAAUGAGUGUAAUCUUGCAAGUUCAAGCAAGUGAUGGUAAGAUGCAUCCAUUUAAUGGUACCAUUUAUGCACUUUUUUAUAUCAACUGGGAAAAAGAUAGCAGGACAAUUCAAGUUUGGAGUAUGCAAGAGAAAUGUUCGUGGAUUAGACAAUUUGUUAUUCGUGAUAUUUCAAAGGAAUGGGGAUGUCUUGAGCUCAUCAAAAUAUUCGAAGACGGAGAGAUAUUAUUUCUGAUCGAUUCGGACUUUUUUUGCUUCUAUCAUCCUUUGACUGAAAAGAAGAGGAUUAUAUCAAAGAAUCAAAAGAAGAAUAGAUUUGUUUGUCAAAUAGAAUGUUUGAAUUUUGGUUCUCUACCGGAGAUUUUGGAAGGAACAAGUUUAUAAUUUUGUUAGCUAAGAAGUUUCCUUUAGAUUUUAUUGGUUUUAAUUAGAUUUAUAAUUUUUUAAAGCUUAUUUGUAUUUGAAUAGAAUGAAUUUUAUUUUAAGUAUUGAAAUACAACGUAUCCAACUCAAAUUUCGAGUUAUGUUAUGUUUGGAGAUUGCAGGUUAAGUAUAUUUUCAUAGGAAAAAAAAAAGACUUUAAUUAGAGCAUGUUUGCAGUACUUCCUAAAUAAAUUAUUUUGUUCUCUUUUCUUCGAAGCUAUUCCUUACCACCAAAUAUCAUAAGUCAGAUUUAGUUCAUCUAAGGUAUGUCAUCAACAAGCAAAAGUAGGUAUCAUUUUCACACCAAAUAAUGAACUGCUUGCAUCUAUAUUUAGCCAAAGAGUAUAUGAGGUAAAAUCAGCAUAGGUAUCAUUUUCACACAAAAAGUGUUUUACGAGGUAAGAAGUAAUAUCCCAUUUUUGUUUAAUAUCAUACCACCAAGCAAGGGAGAUGCAAGCCAACAUACACUUCAUCUCUAACAUACUCAACAAUGGUUGAAGCAAUUGUUUGAGCCAAAAACAAGUAGUAGUAUGUCCUACUUGAAGAAGACUUUAGUUUUUGAAACAAUAUUCUUUAGAACAAAGCAUGCAAAAAGAACACAAUAUUCGAUUCGAAUUUUGUUGAUUUAAUUCAAGUUUAUUGUGAACUUAAGAAAGAUUUUAAUUAUUUAAUUAUUUGUGGUUACUAGAACACUCUAAUUAAUUAAUCAACUGACCCUUUAUGUCAUCCAAUUAGCUUUAGAGUUUUGAAAAUUCAUAUAUUACAAACCUUUCAUUUAUUUAUUGACUCUAAACUUUUCGUAAAAAUAAUUGAUUUUAUUUUUUAAAUAGAAAAUAAAUUUAAUUUUGUUAAGAAAAAUAAUAUUUUUUUGUUGUAAAUCCUGUGGAUUUUUUUUAAAAUUAUAUUUGAAAAGAUAACAUAAAUAUUAUUAAAAAAAUAUAUUUUUUAAAAAGUUGUUAUCGAAAUAUUUUUCCUUAUUUUAGAAUUAAAAACAUUUAUUCAAGCAUAAUUAUGACUGAUUUUAUUUUUCCGUUUCUUCUAAGGAAUGGGUCAGAAGGAUUUUACAAAAAGUUCAAACCCUAUGAUUUUUUGUAUUCCAAACACGUAAAUGUGUAUAUAUAUAUAUAUAGGCUUUCCGAUCUCUAAUAUCUUCAAUUAAUCCUCACAAAGAAGGUUUCGAAGCGAUCAAUGGAGAAUAUGGAGAUGGGUGAGAAUUGGGAUAAAGGGCUUCCGUCAAUGGAGAAUGUGGAAAGACAAAUGGAGAAUAUGGAAAUGAGUGAGAGAAGAAUGAGUAUUGAUUGGGGCAAAGGGCUUCCACCACUUAUUGCUAAAAUAAUCUUCUCCAAACUUGUUAUCUCCAAUUUGCCUUCCUGCAGGUUCGUUUGUAAGACUUGGAACCAUUUGGUUUUACAUUACGCAUCCUCUACUCAAUUACAAUUUCUUACCAAUGCUUUUCUUCUCUCCACCUCUGAUCAAAUGCUCAAUUAUGAAUUAUGCAAUCCCAAAAUGCAUUCUAUCAAUCUUGAUAACACACAAUGUUCUGAUGAUGUUGAUUUGGAGAUGGAAUUUAUUAAAUCAGGCUCGUUCCAAUUUUACGGUGAUUGGACAUUUAUGAUCCUAAUGGCCCAUCCAUGUAAUGGCUUGGUGUUUAUUUCAAAAUGUAGUGACUACACUUGGUGUCAAGGUAUAUUCAAUCCAAUGACUAAUGAGUUUUUCCAAGUUUCGGAACAGGAUACUUUUGAUGAUUUUUAUAACUACGGAUUCGGUUUAAGUCCCGUUACAAAACAAUACAAAUUAUUCCGAACUUCCAAAGCAAUUCCUUACUCAAAAAGAUUUAGACUUGUGAGUACAUGUAGUACCGAUGACACCCACUACAUGAUGGAAGUUCUUACUUUUGGUAGAAGUGGAACCAACCACAUCCCUAUUCAUAACCAAUGGAGGCAUCUUCACAACCUCUCUUAUGAUAUUGUUGUUGGGGAUGGUGGUGUUUACUUGAAUGGAAUCAUCUUUGGUUGGGAAAAGAAAAAUGUGAAAAGAAAGAGAAAGUACGAUAUAUAUGCUCUGGAUGAUGAAACCGAACAGAUUGAAAUGAGUGUAAUCUUGCAAGUUCACGCCAGGGAUGGUAAGAUGCAUCUAUUUAAUGGUACCAUUUAUGCAACUUUUUAUACCAAUUGGGAAAAAGAUGACCUGACGGUUCAAGUUUGGAGUAUGCAAGAGAAACAUUCGUGGAUUAGAAAAUUUGUUAUUAGUGAUAUUUCAAAGCAAUGGAGUUGUCUUGAACUCAUCAAAAUGUUCAAAGACGGAGAUAUAUCAGACUUUUUUUACUUCUAUAAUCCUUUGACUAAAAAGAAGAGUAUCAUAUCAAAGGAUCAAAAGAAGAAGAGUUGUGUUUGUCAAAUAGAAUGUUUGAAUUUUGGUUCUCUACCGAAGAUUUUUGAUGGAACAAAUUUAUAAUUUUGUUAGCAGUUUUAAAAGUUUCUUUAAUUUUGGUAUAUAUCAAGGAAAAAGGUUUGAUUAGGUUUAUACUUGUUUUAAAGCUUGUUUGCGUUUGAAUGGAAUAUAAUUUUAUUUUAAUUUUUGAAAUACAUAUAUCCAUUGCAAAUUACAUACUUAGUAUAGGAAGAUGAGUUGAUAUAGAAUGUUGGACGUUUUACAUGUUUAAUAGUUUCGAGGAGUAUUGAUUUCUAUGUCUACUGCACUUUUAUACUUUAAUUCACUCUUAGCAUAGUGUGAAGUCAUAUGAGAUAUAAGAUUUUUUUUAGCAUUCAUGAGCACUUGAAUCUCAAAUAUUGUUAAAGCUGGACUCUUAAAUCAUGAAUUUUAUGAUUUGAAUCAAUUUAAAACACAAACCAAUUUUUGUAUCGAUUUUAACUUUGAACUUUCACAAAAAUAACCAUUUGAAUCAAGUGUGAAUUUGACCAUCAAACUAAUAUUUUUGUAUCAAUUUAAACCUUUAAAAUUUAAGAAACAUAAGAAUUUGAAUUCAAAUUUUUGUAAGUGUAUCAACUUAAAUCGGUGAAAUUUGCAAAACGAAAAUUUAAAUGUAAAUUGACAUAUUUAUAAAAGAAUUUAAGUUCAAAUGUAAAUAACCCAAGUUAUUGUAAGAUACAUCAAGUUUGGAGUAUUCACAGGAAAGAUUCAUACGUUAGAGAAUUUGUUAUUCAUAAUAUAUAGACUCUUUAAGCUCAUUUGAACAUUUGAUGAUGGAGAGAAAUUAUUUUUUAUCAAUAAUAAUUUUUUUUGCUUUUAUAAUCCUUCGACUAAAAAGAAUGAUCAUAUAAUCGUUCGACUAAGAAGAAGACGAUCAUAUCAAAAUCAAAAGAAGAUGAGAUAUAUUUAUCAAAUAGAAUCUUUGAAAUUUAUAAUUUUGUUAGCUAAAAGUUUCCUUAGGAUUUUAUUAGUGUCUUGAUAUAGGUCAUAAAUUUUUUUUUGAUUACAUUUAUUAUAAUUUUAUUUUAAUAAUUGAAAUACAUAUAUUAAUUGCAAAUUUCGAGUUAUGUUAUGUUGGGAUUGCUAGGUUAAAUAUGUUUAAUAAAAAAAAAAAAAAAAAAAAGAGACUUGAAUUAGAGCAGGUUUGGAAUACUUCAUAAAAUAAUUAGAGCAUUCUCUUUUCUUCAAAGCUAUUCCUUAGCGCCAAAUAUCAGAAGUUUGAUUAGUUCAUCUAGAGUAUGUCAUCAACAAUUGAUAAACAAAUAAUAGUAACCAAGCAAAAGUAGGCAUCUACUUCCAAAAGAAAAUGUAAAAGCACGUAACAACAUUUUCACACAUAAUGAACAACUGCUUGCAUCUAUAUCUACCAGUUUCCAAGGUAAAACAUGCAACUAAGUUAAGCUUUUGCGUUAUAUAAAUACUGUGCCAAAGAGU